This 73-nucleotide transfer RNA is filed under the name Ovis aries (sheep). It matches the Rfam family "tRNA". Rfam says of the family: Transfer RNA (tRNA) molecules are approximately 80 nucleotides in length. Lineage: Eukaryota; Metazoa; Chordata; Mammalia; Artiodactyla; Bovidae. The record is from Rfam by way of RNAcentral.
UCCCUGGUGGUCUAGUGGCUAAGACUCAGUGCUUCCAAUGUAGGGGCCCUAGGUUCAAUUCCUGGUCAAGGAA